AAUGAACGCUGGCGGCGUGGAUAAGACAUGCAAGUCGAACGGAGUUAGCAAUAAGCUUGCUUAAGGCAAACUCAGUGGCGAACGGGUGAGUAACACGUGAAUAAUCUGCCUUGAAGUGGGGGAUAGCCCUGGGAAACUAGGAUUAAUACCGCAUGUGGUCGAGAGACUAAAGCAGCAAUGCGCUCUAAGAUGAGUUCGCGUCCUAUUAGCUAGUUGGUGAGGUAACUGCUCACCAAGGCCUUGAUAGGUAGCCGGUCUGAGAGGAUGUCCGGCCACACUGGAACUGAGACACGGUCCAGACACCUACGGGUGGCAGCAGUCGAGAAUCAUUCACAAUGGGGGCAACCCUGAUGGUGCGCCGCCGCGUGGGGGAAGAAUGUCUUCGGAUUGUAAACCCCUGUCAUGUGGGAGUAAGCUAGCGAUAGUUGAUAGUACCACAAGAGGAAGAGACGGCAAACUCUGUGCCAGCAGCCGCAGUAA
This 480-nucleotide ribosomal RNA is filed under the name uncultured bacterium. RNAcentral's name for it is "partial 16S ribosomal RNA". It matches the Rfam family "Bacterial small subunit ribosomal RNA", at positions 29 to 523 of the family's 1533-position model. The record is from RNAcentral.